RNAcentral lists this microRNA precursor (100 nucleotides) under Vigna radiata var. radiata (mung bean). RNAcentral's name for it is "pre miRNA mir-598". The record is from RNAcentral. Lineage: Eukaryota; Viridiplantae; Streptophyta; Magnoliopsida; Fabales; Fabaceae.
UAACGAAAUUAAUGGAUGAUAAUGUGACACAACUUAAAGCUGAUGUGUUAGAUUGGACCCUCGUUAGCUUUAAGUUGUGUCACAUCAUCAUUCAUUAAUU